Molecule: ribosomal RNA, 923 nt
Filed under: uncultured bacterium
Lineage: Bacteria
Description: bacterial SSU rRNA
Rfam family: Bacterial small subunit ribosomal RNA
Source: RNAcentral
AGAGUUUGAUCCUGGCUCAGGACGAACGCUGGCGGCGUGCUUAACACAUGCAAGUCGAACGAUGAAGCCUAGCUUGCUAGGUGGAUUAGUGGCGAACCGGGUGAGUAAUACGUGAGUGACCUACCUUUGACUCUGGGAUAAGCCUGGGAAACUGGGUCUAAUACCGGAUACGACCAAUCUCCGCAUGGGGUGUUGGUGGAAAGCGUUAUGGAGUGGUUUUAGAUGGGCUCACGGCCUAUCAGCUUGUUGGUGAGGUAAUGGCUUACCAAGGCGACGACGGGUAGCCGGCCUGAGAGGGUGACCGGCCACACUGGGACUGAGACACGGUCCAGACUCCUACGGGAGGCAGCAGUAGGGAAUCUUCCGCAAUGGGCGAAAGCCUGACGGAGCAACGCCGCGUGAGUGAUGAAGGUCUUCGGAUCGUAAAACUCUGUUAUUAGGGAAGAACAUAUGUGUAAGUAACUGUGCACAUCUUGACGGUACCUAAUCAGAAAGCCACGGCUAACUACGUGCCAGCAGCCGCGGUAAUACGUAGGUGGCAAGCGUUAUCCGGAAUUAUUGGGCGUAAAGCGCGCGUAGGCGGUUUUUUAAGUCUGAUGUGAAAGCCCACGGCUCAACCGUGGAGGGUCAUUGGAUACUGGAAAACUUGAGUGCAGAAGAGGAAAGUGGAAUUCCAUGUGUAGCGGUGAAAUGCGCAGAGAUAUGGAGGAACACCAGUGGCGAAGGCGACUUUCUGGUCUGUAACUGACGCUGAUGUGCGAAAGCGUGGGGAUCAAACAGGAUUAGAUACCCUGGUAGUCCACGCCGUAAACGAUGAGUGCUAAGUGUUAGGGGGUUUCCGCCCCUUAGUGCUGCAGCUAACGCAUUAAGCACUCCGCCUGGGGAGUACGACCGCAAGGUUGAAACUCAAAGGAAUUGACGGG